GGUGGUACAAGGGUCAGUUGGUGUGGAGGAAGAGCAAAGACUAAAGAAAAGGGCGGUGGUUCUUUUUUUUCAAGUUGAGAGAAAAUGGAGGUGAAAGAAAUGAAAUAAAAAAGAGGAAUACGGGAGAAUGAAAUAGGUAGGGACGGCAAUGGAGUGGUAAGCUUGUCAACUGUGACUAGAUUCAUUGAAUCACAACAAAUAGGUAAGAAUAAAAGUUUUGGC
RNAcentral lists this long non-coding RNA (222 nucleotides) under Gossypium raimondii (Peruvian cotton). RNAcentral's name for it is "long non-coding RNA (GRAI_LNC001311)". The record is from RNAcentral. Lineage: Eukaryota; Viridiplantae; Streptophyta; Magnoliopsida; Malvales; Malvaceae.